This 366-nucleotide ribosomal RNA is filed under the name Triticum aestivum (bread wheat). Its description in RNAcentral is "partial small subunit ribosomal RNA". Lineage: Eukaryota; Viridiplantae; Streptophyta; Magnoliopsida; Poales; Poaceae. The record is from RNAcentral.
AUGCUGGUCCCGGCUCCGUAUCAGGCGCCGAAAAAGAAGGCCAAGAAGAAGAGUAAGGAGGCCAAGGGUGGCCUCCGCCGUAAAGGCGCUUCGGACGUAGUGUCUGAAGACACCGAAACUCUCUCCUCUCAUGACAAAGAUGAAGAGGAGGAAGAGAGCAAUUCCCCCUUUAAGGGGGAAAAGAAGAAGAGGGCAGCUUCCGUGGAUCUAGAUGCGGAAGCGUCCAAGAAAGGGAAAACCUCCCUUACGGAUGAUUCCGAUACGGACGCCGACGACAUCCACGGGUGGCGCCCCAGGCCAGAUCGUAAGUAUUCAAAGGUACCGUAUAUAUAUCCGGCUUUUCGCCUUGUGGUUGUGACACGUUGA